GACGAACGCUGGCGGCGUGCUUAACACAUGCAAGUCGAACGGAAAGGCCCUGCUUUCGUGGGGUGCUCGAGUGGCGAACGGGUGAGUAACACGUGAGUAACCUGCCCUUGACUUUGGGAUAACUUCAGGAAACUGGGGCUACUACCGGAUAGGAGCUCCUGCUCCAUGGUGGGGGUUGGAAAUUUUCGGCGGUUGGGGAUGGACUCGCGGCUUAUCAGCUUGUUGGUAGGGUAACGGCUUACCAAGGCAACGAUGCGUAGCUGACCUGAGAGGGUGAUCGGCCACACUGGAACUGAGACACGGUCCAGACUCCUACGGGAGGCAGCAGUAGGGAAUCUUCCGCAAUGGGCGAAAGCUUGACGGAGCAACGCCGCGUGAGUGAUGAAGGUCUUCGGAUCGUAAAACUCUGUUAUUGGGGAAGAACAAAUGUGGAAGUAAAUAUGCACGUCUUGACGGUACCUAAUCAGAAAGCAACGGCUAACUACGUG
Molecule: ribosomal RNA, 488 nt
Filed under: uncultured bacterium
Lineage: Bacteria
Description: partial 16S ribosomal RNA
Rfam family: Bacterial small subunit ribosomal RNA
Source: RNAcentral